GUUCCCCAAGGCCACGAUGAAAAACGACCUGGGAGGGGAUCGGCCCAACUGGGGUGUAAACCGGGCCCAGAUUCUUACGGGAGCAGCAGUAGGGAAUUUUCUGGCAAUGAACGAAAGUUUGACCGAGCAACGCCGCGUGAGUGAAGAAGGUUUUCGGAUCGUAAAACUUUGUUGUUAGAGAAGAACAAGGACGUUAGUAACUGAACGUCCCCUGACGGUAUCUAACCAGAAAGCCACGGCUAACUACGUGCCAGCAGCCGCGGUAAUACGUAGGUGGCAAGCGUUGUCCGGAUUUAUUGGGCGUAAAGCGAGCGCAGGCGGUUUCUUAAGUCUGAUGUGAAAGCCCCCGGCUCAACCGGGGAGGGUCAUUGGAAACUGGGAGACUUGAGUGCAGAAGAGGAGAGUGGAAUUCCAUGUGUAGCGGUGAAAUGCGUAGAUAUAUGGAGGAACACCAGUGGCGAAGGCGGCUCUCUGGUCUGUAACUGACGCUGAGGCUCGAAAGCGUGGGGAGCAAACAGGAUUAGAUACCCUGGUAGUCCACGCCGUAAACGAUGAGUGCUAAGUGUUGGAGGGUUUCCGCCCUUCAGUGCUGCAGCAAACGCAUUAAGCACUCCGCCUGGGGAGUACGACCGCAAGGUUGAAACUCAAAGGAAUUGACGGGGGCCCGCACAAGCGGUGGAGCAUGUGGUUUAAUUCGAAGCAACGCGAAGAACCUUACCAGGUCUUGACAUCCUUUGACCACUCUAGAGAUAGAGCUUUCCCUUCGGGGACAAAGUGACAGGUGGUGCAUGGUUGUCGUCAGCUCGUGUCGUGAGAUGUUGGGUUAAGUCCCGCAACGAGCGCAACCCUUAUUGUUAGUUGCCAUCAUUUAGUUGGGCACUCUAGCGAGACUGCCGGUGACAAACCGGAGGAAGGUGGGGAUGACGUCAAAUCAUCAUGCCCCUUAUGACCUGGGCUACACACGUGCUACAAUGGGAAGUACAACGAGUCGCUAGACCGCGAGGUCAUGCAAAUCUCUUAAAGCUUCUCUCAGUUCGGAUUGCAGGCUGCAACUCGCCUGCAUGAAGCCGGAAUCGCUAGUAAUCGCGGAUCAGCACGCCGCGGUGAAUACGUUCCCGGGCCUUGUACACACCGCCCGUCACACCACGAGAGUUUGUAACACCCGAAGUCGGUGAGGUAACCUUUUUGGAGCCAGCCGCCUAAGGU
Molecule: ribosomal RNA, 1206 nt
Filed under: Enterococcus faecalis
Lineage: Bacteria; Bacillati; Bacillota; Bacilli; Lactobacillales; Enterococcaceae
Description: bacterial SSU rRNA
Rfam family: Bacterial small subunit ribosomal RNA
Source: RNAcentral